RNAcentral lists this ribosomal RNA (426 nucleotides) under uncultured prokaryote. Its description in RNAcentral is "bacterial SSU rRNA". It matches the Rfam family "Bacterial small subunit ribosomal RNA", at positions 355 to 796 of the family's 1533-position model. The record is from RNAcentral.
UGGGGAAUUUUCCGCAAUGGGGGGAACCCUGACGGAGCAACGCCGCGUGGGGGAGGAAUGUCUGUGGAUUGUAAACCCCUUUUCUCUGGGAAGAAGGACUGACGGUACCAGAGGAAUCAGCCCCGGCUAACUCUGUGCCAGCAGCCGCGGUAAUACAGAGGGGGCAAGCGUUGUCCGGACUUACUGGGCGUAAAGCGCACGCAGGUGGUAACGCAAGUGGGGUGUGAAAGCCGCCAGCUCAACUGGCGGAGGCCAUCCCAAACUGCGUCACUUGAGGCCUGUAGAGGUAUGUGGAAUUGCCGGUGUAGUGGUGAAAUGCGUAGAGAUCGGCAGGAACACCCAGGGGGAAGCCAGCAUACUGGACAGGUCCUGACACUCAGGUGCGACAGCGUGGGGAGCGAACCGGAUUAGAUACCCCGGUAGUCC